Molecule: RNA transcript, 2263 nt
Organism: Spinacia oleracea (spinach)
Lineage: Eukaryota; Viridiplantae; Streptophyta; Magnoliopsida; Caryophyllales; Amaranthaceae
Exons: 5
Source: RefSeq, a predicted model, not a curated record
GUUGCAACGUACGUCUCUUUGUUCGCUGCGACAGAUCAGUCUAAAAUUUGUUCGCUUCUUUGUUUGCUGCAACAGUCUCAAAAUUUUGCUCGCGUUGAGUGGACUUAAUUUUAUUUUUCAUUUUCAAAAUUUUCGAUUCUUCCUUCACCUCAGCUCUACCGGAAACACCGCCCUUCUUCUUCUUCUUCGAUCUUCCUCUCUGCUUUGUUCACCUUCACAUCUACUUUGUUCAUCUUCCUCUCUACUUUGUUCACCUCUGUGUUUUUUCUCUCUCCUCUGCUUCUCAAUCACUCUCCUCUACUCCUCUUAUCUGGUCCGGUAGAAAAAAAAAUCGCAAGCAGACCUAACUUGCCGUAAUUCAACCACGGAGACCUAGCUUGCCGGGAUUUCACAAGAAAAUCUAGCACCGCGGCCCCAUUCCCUUCUCUUGCCGGGAUUUUAAUUUGCAAUUAAGUUUAAGAAAUUAGGGUUUGUGAAUUAGAAUUUGGGGAUUUGGGAGUUCGGGCUUUUCGUAUCGGCGGCAGAGGACUACUCGGAACCACUCCACAGCAGUAGCGUGAUUGACGGACGACAGCCCGCGGUGGUGGUUGACGGAGCUUGCUAGGUCUAUUUUUUAUUUUUGUAUUUUCAAUUAAAAUUACUAAUUAAAUUGUAUUUGAAUUAUUUUGUGCAAUUAUGUUUUAUACUUUGUAAAUAUGAAUUGAAGAACCGAGAGCCUUGUGCACUACGAUUGUAGGUUGGUUUGAUUUAGUUAAUUGGAGUUGGCAAGUUAACCAAAGUACCAGUUUAGUUGUCAGUUGGGAAGUUAAUGAAUUAAGCAAUGGAUUACCUGGUCUGGCUUUAUGGUAUGCAGGCUGUUAAGUUAGUAGACUAAUGUCUAGUUGAAUCAUGAAUCAAUUUCGAUUUAGCCAUACUGAUUAUCCCUCUUUCUUGCCCUGUUUCUUAUUUUGGGAUGAUUGGUGAAUGGUGGUUCCUUCAAUGUCUGAAAUUAAAGUCAUGGUUGCUGACAUGCUAGACUUGCCUUUCGCGGAUGAUUCUUUUGAUGUGGUUAUUGAGAAAGGAACAAUGGUAAGAACACCAUUUCUAGUCUGGACUUCAUUUUUUUUCUUGUUAUCAAAAGCCUGAGAACAUAAACAACAAUUACUAAAAUUAUAUCGUUAUUGAUUCCUGUUAUCUGCAUUUUGAAGUUGCUCUGAUAUAUUUCUGACCAAUAUCUGGUAUAAUCCGUAAUCUCUAUAAAGAAGGUUAGUUAAUUUUUUAUUCUUCUUCUGCACCUGCUUAGAAGACUGCAGUAUUGAAAAACGUUGUAUUUGGCUACAUAUGAUAAUGUAUUCUCGUCUGAAAAUUAUGUAUUAUGCUUUCUGUUGAUUGGAUAUUGGAUGGAGCUUCAUAUAUACUGUGUUUUAGGGAGAAAAACGUGAUAGUACAAAAAUAGUAUCUAGCGGAUGUAAAGUAGUUGUUGCCUGUUUCGUUGCCCUCUGCCAUAAUUAAGACAAUAAUAAUAUCUUAAUUUACUGUCUGGGUUAUUUCAGCUACUAAUAAACUAUUUCUAUCUUCUGAUUUUAGUCCAUUGAGUGAGAGUGCUGGUACUGUUGGUACGGAUAUUGUUUGUCAAGCAUUAAAUGGAAUCAAGAUGAGUGAUAAAACCCCUUACUGUUCGGCGUGCUAACCAGGGUACUCAACAACCAAAGCCAGAGCAAGAGAGUGUAUACACAGCAGCAGAUUGCGUUGCAGUGCCACCAAAGAAGCUUAUUUUACAGGUUCUAAGCUAGCUCAUACAAACACAAGCUAGUCAUGAUUGCACUUGAUAACAGCCUUAGGUUCCUAGCCAAGCUAAACCUUGGCAGGUGGCAAAUAUGGACAGCGAACAUUUGUUUGGUCCAUCUUUGUCAGUUCUUCAACUUUUUCUUCGGGUGUUUCUCAUUUGAGUCGUUCGUGCCGUUUUGGACGUAUCCUUUCCCCAACUUUGAUUCAUCUUCCACUUGGUCUAUACUACGAGGAAUGCGCCUUAUGCUAGUGAGCAAAUUCAUGUGGUUCGUGAGGAAUGGGCUAAGUUUUUUACCAGCAAGUAUUUAUUAUUGGCCUUAGCGCGUUUGAUCGAGUUGGCUUAGAUAUUAUAGAACAAUCUUUUAUAUUAAAAUGUAUGCGUACGUUGAAAUUGGAACAUACAUAUAUUUAAAUGUACUACACGCACUUUGUUUUGGGAUAUAUAGUAUACAAAACACCAGUUAUUGUUUUUAUAAUGUUUAUACAGGUUGCGAUA